This 759-nucleotide ribosomal RNA is filed under the name uncultured bacterium. Its description in RNAcentral is "bacterial SSU rRNA". It matches the Rfam family "Bacterial small subunit ribosomal RNA", at positions 28 to 776 of the family's 1533-position model. The record is from RNAcentral.
GAUGAACGCUAGCGAUAGGCUUAACACAUGCAAGUCGAGGGGCAGCAUAAUUUUAGCUUGCUAAGAUUGAUGGCGACCGGCGCACGGGUGCGUAACGCGUAUGCAACUUACCUUAUAGAGGGGGAUAGCCCGUUUAACGACGGAUUAAUACCGCAUAUACAAACAGCUCGGCAUCGAGCAAUUUGGAAAUGAAUUUCGCUAUGAGAUAGGCAUGCGUCCCAUUAGCUAGUUGGUGAGGUAACGGCUCACCAAGGCGACGAUGGGUAGGGGAACUGAGAGGUUGAUCCCCCACACUGGUACUGAGACACGGACCAGACUCCUACGGGAGGCAGCAGUGAGGAAUAUUGGUCAAUGGACGCAAGUCUGAACCAGCCAAAUCGCGUGAAGGAUGACUGUCUUAUGGAUUGUAAACUUCUUUUAUACGGGAAUAAUCACAGAUACGUGUAUCUGUUUGAAUGUACCGUACGAAUAAGCAUCGGCUAACUCCGUGCCAGCAGCCGCGGUAAUACGGAGGAUGCGAGCGUUAUCCGGAUUUAUUGGGUUUAAAGGGUGCGUAGGUGGUUUGAUAAGUCAGCGGUGAAAUCUCCGAGCUCAACUCGGACACUGCCGUUGAAACUGUCGAACUUGAGUGUAGAUGAGGUAGGCGGAAUGCGUGGUGUAGCGGUGAAAUGCAUAGAUAUCACGCAGAACUCCGAUUGCGAAGGCAGCUUACUAAGGUACAACUGACACUGAAGCACGAAAGCGUGGGUAUCAAACAGG